This 380-nucleotide long non-coding RNA is filed under the name Mus musculus (house mouse). RNAcentral's name for it is "predicted gene, 48383". Lineage: Eukaryota; Metazoa; Chordata; Mammalia; Rodentia; Muridae. The record is from RNAcentral.
AGAUCCUUGGACUUCCAUUCACAGCUGCGACUGAACAAUUGUUGGGAAUUCGGCUGCCGACUACCACUUGACUGCUCGGUCCUCUGCAGACAGUCCCAGGAGACACACAACCUGCUCCAAACACACUAGUUAAAGACCCAGAAGACCUCUGCCACACUAUCAAGGGUUCCUCUGUGUAGCCCUGGCUGUCCUGGCACUCACUUUGUAGAGCUGGCUGGCCUCGAACUCAGAAAUCACCUGCCACUGCCUCCCAAGUGCUGGGAUUAAAGGCGUGCACCACCACCGCCCAGCAAGAUGCAUGAAUCUUAACCAGGGAGAAGAGUGGUAAAGCUAAGAAGUGGAGACCUGUCAUGAUAAAGAAAGUGAUUUCCUUCAAAUCA